Carlito syrichta (Philippine tarsier) is the source of this 619-nucleotide long non-coding RNA. RefSeq lists it as uncharacterized. NCBI's taxonomy places the organism in Eukaryota, Metazoa, Chordata, Mammalia, Primates, Tarsiidae. The record is from RefSeq and is a predicted model, not a curated record. The transcript is spliced from 3 exons.
UCCUCCUCUCGCUGCCAGGAGUUGAAGCGGAGCUGCGGCACCCCCCUGGCAGAUCGGGUGUCCCUCCUCGCCGCUGAGGCUGCCCGGCCUUCUCCCCUUUUCCCCUACGCGGGAAUCGAGGGGGUGCGCGGCAGUGCCGGGAUCGGGCUGCGUGUUGGCUGAGUGCGACAAACCGCGAGCGCGGGCAGCGGAGGCGCCGCGGCGGCCGUGGCCGCUCGGAGCGCAGCAAUAGUCAGGUGUGUGUGUCCAGGGGGGGACGCGCGCUGCCGGCUCCUGGGCUGGCGACAGAUUGUGCAGGAAUGCGAGGAAUGCACCAGGGGCAGAGUCCACACAACCCUCCGCGGCUGCACUAGCGCCUUCCCGGCCCAGCUCUCGCCGUGCAGCCAGAGGUCACCGGAGCAUCUUCGGAGCUGGAGGAAUGCCAGCUCCUGAGCAGACCUCAUUGGUGGAGGAGGGGCAACCACAGACCCACCAGGAAGCUGCCUCCACUGGCCCAGGCAUGGAACCCGAGACCACAGCCACCACUAUUCUAGCUUCUGUGAAGGAGCAGGUGUUUACAUCCCUGAGUACAUUGGGAUGACUGGCAUGUAGAGCUGCUCCAGGUGCCAGUCAGAAUCGG